This 6428-nucleotide long non-coding RNA is filed under the name Sus scrofa (pig). RNAcentral describes it as "lncRNA (ENSSSCG00005009240.1)". Lineage: Eukaryota; Metazoa; Chordata; Mammalia; Artiodactyla; Suidae. The record is from RNAcentral.
UUUUUUUUUUUUUUUGCUUUUUAGGGCCACACCCACAGCAUAUGGAGGUUCCCAGGCUAGGGGUCAAUCAGAGCUGCAGCUGCCAGCCUACACCACAGCCACAGCAACACCAGAUCUGAGCCGUGUCUGCAACCUACACCACAGCUCAUGGCAAUGCCGGAUCCUUAACCCACUGAGCAAGGACAGGGAUUGAACCUGCAAACUCACAUGUAUGCUAGUCAGAUUUGUUUCCACUGACCACAAGGGGAACUCCUCCCUCUUGUUUUUACAUCUUAGCCCUCUAAGUUUGAUUAACCAGCACAUGCUUUUUCACAUAGUAUUGAAUGUUCACAUAUUACUUUUUCAUGGAUGUACAGUAUUUAUGUCUUUGUUUUUAAUUUUGUUUCAAAAAAGUGCCCCCUUUCCAACUCUUGUUCCUAAAAAGAAGAGAUAAAGAAAAAGAAUUUUCUGUAAUUUUUUUCUUCUUUGAGAAUUAUCCUAACAUUCCACUUUUCCUUUAUAAUCUUAAGAUUCUGAAGGCACAUCAAACUUGUGUUCAUAUAUUGUCUUUUUGUUUGUUUGCUUGGCUGCACCUGUGGUAUGCAGAGAAGUUCCCAGGGAUCGAACCCUUGCCACAGCAGUGACAAUGCCAGAGAAUCCCAUCUCUUCUGUCUUAAUGUUGAAAAACGACCACAAAACAGCAACACUACACAAAAUAAUCAUAAAAUAUGAGGGCUCCAAGAAAGUUUCAAGAGCACCUCAUGGUCUAUUUCUGAGAUACGACUUCUCUUUGGGAGAAUUUUCUUACAGUGACACCAAUUAUAUGCUCAAUCCAGUACAGAUCGCCUGCUAUUUUUUAUGUGUAUCUGCUUUAGACUUUACUAUAUUACAAUGGUAAACUCAGGUUAUUUAUUUUAGCAAAAGCCUUUAGAAUAUUAAAUUUCAUUCUAGCAUAAUGGUUAACAUAUUUUGCUUUAAACUAUUUAGGUUNNNNNNNNNNNNNNNNNNCUACACAGUCAAUGGCUGUCUGAACACAAAGUAGAGGUGGCAGUGUUCUAAACUUUAAUGUGAGUUGGAUAAUUGUCCAUGCAAGACCAAGAAGGUAGAUAAUAAUAGUGACAAGGUCAAGAUUGUUGUUUAGUUUUUUAUAACAGAAAUUUGUUCUUUGUUUGUACUAUCUCCUCCCUUAGAAAUGAGUUAUCAACAUUUUUUUUUACAUUCCAUCUGAGAUUUUCAGCUAUAAGGAUUAUUUUUUUUAACAACAGUAGCUUUUUCAGAGGGAUUACACUAUUUUUCUUCAUUUUGAUAAGGCAUGAACCACGAAUGUCCAUAAAAGUUGAGAUUAUCAUUGGAACCCAUUAUUUUAUAUCAGAAUUUUACUGACAGAAAGUUUUGAUUUCACCAGAUUCAGACUCUGCCUCAGUGUAAGAACCUUCUUGCCCACCAAUUGGAGCUAUCACUCUCUGCCCAAGCUCAAGGGCUCUGCCCAAAUUCAAGGGACUCUUGAGAUGGGGCUCUGGGCUCUUGCCCUGGUGCUAAUUCUCUCACAACACAUGCCUCUCCCUUAGUAAUUUGUUCUCUUAAAAAUGUUUCACUUAUUUUCUAUUGGUUUUGUCCCCUUUUGAAACCAAUAACAAGUUUACUGGUAAAAUGGCAGCAAAGAGGAGGAAGAUUCCUUUCUGUAUCUUGAUAUAUUUCUCCCCUCUUGCCCUAAGAUUCUGGAGCAGUGUAGUAUGACAAAAUCUCACUGGACUGAGGGAAUGUGAGUAAUUCUUAGGCUGCUCCCAACCAGCUCUGGGCCUCAGGCAAAAACACGUAGCUUUUCUAGGAUUUUAUUUUCUUCAUUUAUGAAAUGACAGUUGGGCUAAAUGACCUCUGACCCCCCCCUUUCCUGCUUUAGAAUUAAAACAAUAUUCCCAAAAUACACCGAAGUCACUAAAGAAAUGCACUAUGGCAAUCCUACAUUAUGUCAGUUCACAUCAGUCAUUCAUUAGUGGGACAUAUCUAAAAAAGUAUGAGCAAGCUCGAUUAAGCAAAGAAUGUCAAACUCAACCAACCUUACUCAAACGGAUUUGAUAUGAAUAGAAAGUGUAUUGUUCACAUACCUGUUAUGACUGAAAGCAACAAUUAUCAAAUAUUUCCAAAAUUGUUUUCUAAUGAAUCUAAAAGACUGUUUAUAUAGUGGAAAGAAUUGCUGUUAUGCUUUUUUCUUUUUCCUUGUUCCAGUUGCUUUGAGCUGCCUGCUGUUCAACAGUGCUCUAUACCUCCUUGCAUAGUGAAAAAUACACAUACAGAGGAAGGAGAAAGGAUUUGAGGAUUUUUGCUAUAUUCUCAUUAUUUCCCUAGACACGAUGCAUACCCGUGUUCAUUUUCAUUAAUGCUCCCCUCCUUCCUUUAUUUCUUAUUCCCUCUCGUUAUCUUUCUAGCAGGAUAAUGUCUUUCCAUUGUCCAUUUUUUCCUCAUUUCUCUCUUCUCAUUACUCUAACUACCUCAUUCUGGCAUCUCACUAAUUUCCCCUUUAGGCUAAAAAUGAAAGAAUCUAAAACAUUUCUAUAAAUUGCUGAAACUUUUUUUUUCCUUUAGAAAAAUAUUCAGCAAUAACUUAUAAAGCCUUUAUGUAUUUACCUUCUGGUUUUGAGCAGAGAGCUAAUUUAAAUACAUUUAAAAUAUCCUUUAAGAUGAAACAACACAUUAUAAAUUAACACCUUAUCCUGAUUUACACUGUUUUAAACCCUUUAAAGGGAAAAUGAAGGAAAAAACCUCAUAAAACUACAAUGAUUUCAAUGUUCCUUAACAGAAAUUCACAUGUGAAAAAUCAUUUAGUUACAACUGGACUCCGGGAUGCAUCAAUUUCCUUCGAUCUCAGAGAACUCGAAAGUCCUGUGCCAUCUUAGACUGUGAGCAGCAACUGAAGUUUGAGGCCCCUAAAGUGGGUAUAACAGUAACCUCCCACCACCCAAUGAAGCUCAUUUUGUCAAGCUCAACAAACACUAAUUUGUGUGCUAAUCUUCUGUGUGAAAGGCGCUCAUCAUUAGUGAAACAAACAAACCAUUUUAGUGUACAACUGUCAACAUGACCAAAAUCACUCACAUUGGAUCAGCACUAUGCCCUGGCCCAUUGCUAAGUGACAUAGACCCCACUGUCCACUGCAACUAAGUCACAAGGGCCAUAUCAGCACAGCAUAGACGAAGCGUUCUUUGACUGCAAAGUGUAAAGGUAAUCGGAGAAGAACCUCAAAUCAGAACCAUCCUUGGAGCCCUACUGCCAGUGCCUUAAGAAAAGGUCUUCCUGCCUCUGGGUCUGGGAUAGCCCUUGCUUGUCUCCCUAACGCCCACAUCUCCCCACUGGUCCACCAUCCUGACUCUUCCCUUAUUACCAAAACCCAGAGAAAAGUGAUCAGUCUACCCUUUUGCCUCAAAACUCCCAUUGGCUCCUUGCCAAACGAGGUCAAAAUAAGCUACAGUGUCAGAUGGAAUCUGUCACUAUCCUGUGCUCCUAUCAUUUGCUGGCAGUAAGACUUUUGGCUAAGGGCAGGGAGUGCCUUAUAGGAUGAGUGUGAGGAAGUCAGUGCGUGUGUGCGUGUGUGUGUGUGUGUGUGUGUGUGUGUGUGUGUGUGUGAAGCAUUAAACCACAUGGCACACAGUGGUUUAAUUAAAUGUAUAUUAUUUUAUUCCCAUUCUCUAUUUCAUUGCUGGAGUGAUUUCAAAUAUCCUAAUAUGGCAUAAUCAGCAGAACCAAACUGUGCUGCUCUAGAACCUUCUUUUACUCUCCCUCCCCCCCUCUCCGCACUUUAGAGACAGCAAUGCUUCCAAACUCAUCAGGCACUUUCAGGAAUCUGUCUUAUACCUAGGACGCCCUCUUCCCGCUCCCUCUUGAAAAUGUGCACUCAUUAUUUAAGAGCAAUCUCAUGUCUUUGCCAGACUCCAGUGAGUUACAGCUCCUUUCUGCCUCCAUUGUAUAUUCACUCACUUGCUCAGCAAAUCUCAGUGAUUACAAGUGUGGACUCUAGAACCAGCUAGCCUGAAUCAAAUCCCAUGUAGCCACUCACUCGUUAUAUAUAAACUUGAGAAAGUUACUUAAUCUCUGUGGCCCAGUAUCUUAAGUUAUAAAACAUAGUUAAAAGCCCUAUUUUAGGAAUUUUUGACAUAGUGCAGGAAAACAAUAAGUGUGAACGGCAAGAGUCUCGGGUUCCUGGGUCUGCUUUUAUUACAUGAGUGAACUUGGGCAACUCAAUGAAAUCAAUACCCACUGUUAACCUUACUGAGUGAUCCACCAUCACCUUUACAUAUAAAAUGAGGGGAAUGAACUGAAUAGUCUCUCUGAGGUCUCAUCUACAUUUACAAUUCUCAAAUUUUCUCUUAACCUCUUUUAUUUAUAGUCCUUCAGAGCUAUUUAAAUAAGUUUUUAUUUCAUUAAAGUGCCCACAGAAUUCCUUAACACAUUACCAGAUCAAAAGUUACUUCCUUCAGAUGGGAACACUUGUACCACAGCCGAGGAGAUUUUCAAUAAAGUCUAAAUUGUGUCUAAGUAUUAAGGAAUUCUGAUUAUUAAAGUAUUAGGAGCCCAACAAAUCCAAGAUUACAGGAAUUUGGGUGUUCUUCUGCACAUCAAGGAGCCCAAAGUAUCACCUGCUGAGAACAGAGGGUGGUCAAACAAAUAUCAUUUCCUAUGAUUCAUACCAACACUAACAUCCUUAAAAGAUGAAUACUAAAAUCAUAAAGACAUUUCAGACCUUCAUGAAUGAAAGAAUUAUAAAGCCAGAGGAAAUUUUAGCAAUUUUUUUUUUGUCUUUUUAGGGCCGAACCCACGGCAUAUGGAGCUUCCCAGGCUAGGGGGUCCAAUCAGAUAUGUAGCCACCAGCCUACACCACAGCCCACAGGAAGGCCAGAUCCCUAACCCACUGAGGGAGGCCAGGGAUUGAAUCUGAGUCCCCAUGGAUGCUAGUCAGGUUCGUUAACCACUAAGCCAUGAAGGGAACUCAAGCUUUAGCAUUUUUAAAACACAUAUUCUCUUUUCAACGUCAUAAACAACCUUUAAGUAUUAAUCUAUAAUGUAACAAGGGAAGAGCAACUAAGAACAAUUUGCUUCCCUACAGAAUAGCUGCAUUUUCACUAUAGAAGGUGUGGGGGAUCAAAAGUAUUGCAUAACAGAUAUGAAUAAAUUUAUCUUUAUUGAUUGUCAAGUCAUAUACCUAGUUUUUAUUAUGUGGCUUAAAAUGUACUUACAUGCACUUGUAGAUACCGAGAUCUAAUCUUAUCAUAAAGUAGUCAUAUGGCUGAUGCCAUAAAUGAAGUAUGGCUCUAAAGCAGUAUGUCUAAUUUUUAAGCAUAUAUCAGAACUUAACCAUAGAUAUGAACUAAUCCUUUUUAAGGUACUGAAGUUAUCUUGAUAAUAUUCUAAUGGGUUCAUCUUUAUCUCAAAACACCUGUUUUGGAAUUAUCUACCUUCAUGUGUGUGUGUGUGUUGGAGGGAAAACCUUAUUUUAGGGUGAAUUAAAUUCAGGGAAACUACCAAAAGGUCAAUCAGCUAUGUAUCAGCAAGUAUAGUAAAAUGCUAUGGUAGACUCCAGCUUUGCAUUAAAACUUUUCAACUUGGCUAUAUGUUUGAAUAUUUUCCAUAAUGAACUGUAGAAAAAAAAAAAGAGCUAAACUUGAUGAAUAAAAUGGGAAAUCUGUUAAGUAACAGACCGACUCUAUAAAAUAAUGUAAAAGAAAUAACUAAACAAAGAAUUUAUGAGCUAGGAUAUAUUUAGAUCUAUAUAGAGAAAAUUAUAGACAAGGUAUUCCCACCGUGUUUCAAACCAUGGCACUACUUUUGGAUUAACUGCACUGUGUUAAAGGUGAGAUCAUGUAUUUGGAUCUCUCCAUUCCUGCGAUCAUAUUCUCUACAUGCAUAGAGGCAACUUUAUGACUCACUUCCUCCAUGGAGUGCUAGAUCAAUGUGUAUCCCUGAAGUAGUUCUAGCAUCCCUCUACUGACGUCUGCUUUUUGAAAAAACUAUGUAGCAAGAAUGGGAAUUUGAUCAAACAUGUGGAACUGACUGAUGCUGGCAUUCAGCCCUAAAUUCAUUUAAAUUAUGAUACCAAAUACAGUAGAAAGGGACCAAGUCUUAUGAAUGGAUACUUCCUGUCUUUGCGAAGCUCUGAACCCCAAGGGGUACCCUAAACCAUAAGUCUCACAACCACAAAAUUUACUCUUCCUUUUUUCUGUUCCCUUUUCUCUUUUGGAACCCAUCAAAUCCUUCAUACAUAGCUACUUCCCUGAGCCAGUUUUGGUGUAACAUUUAAAACCACAGAAUGAUGCUGGGGGGGUUAGCACUCAUUCCAUGAUAGAACUGUAAAAGUGUUCUGAAUUCAGAAAAACUAUGGUGGUAUCAUUAAAGGCUUCAGAAGGAAAAAAAAAAAUCCAAUUUCCCUUUCAUGAAAUGCACUAACAAAAAAAAAAAAAAAA